Neofelis nebulosa (Clouded leopard) is the source of this 1165-nucleotide long non-coding RNA. RefSeq lists it as uncharacterized. The transcript has 3 exons. The record is from RefSeq and is a predicted model, not a curated record. NCBI's taxonomy places the organism in Eukaryota, Metazoa, Chordata, Mammalia, Carnivora, Felidae.
CAGCCAGGCAUAAAAAGGAAGAAAUAAGGGAGGGCAGGAAGGAAGGAAAAUUUAAAGAUGAAAAAGUCAAUUACUCUUCCCACACUUGCUCACCCUUGGACUUACUGCAUUAAUAUCAGCUUAGCAAUAUCUACUUGUUGAGUAUAGGCUGUGUACAGAGCACCAUGUGAGAGAUUAAAAGAGAAAAUACAUCAUCCCAGGAUUUGAGUCACUAACUCAGCUCUGCUCUCUUCUACAACCCCAUGAAAGAUGGUAACUCCAUCUGUCCUGCAAACUUUCAGCCGACUUCAUUACAAAAAUACCCCAGGACCAAAGCCAGAGCUAAUGAGCAUCUUAGACCAUUUGGAAGAAGAAAGGCUAUUUUUUGGCUGAGGAUAAUUGAGCUUCACUUCAAAUCAGAAUCUAAGCUAUUAUUUUCUCUGUACCGAAUCCAAAUCACUGAGAUUCCUGAAGUUUGUCCAUGGUUAUUGUCCACCUGAUGCCAAAAUAUUCUGAUGAAAAGCGAAACAUUCAGCCAGUUGUGUGAAUUCUUUGUCCUGAAAUCUAAAAGCUCAGCCAUCUGGCAGGAUAGCAGAACAGCUGAACAGUCAACUGAUGCUCCUGCUGUAGAUUGAGAGGCCACAAGAAUUGUGCAGAUAAGAUCUCCUGCAAAAAUCAAAAUGCAAAGACCCAAUGCCAAUGUCCCUCAUUAUUGAUAAAGUGGGAUCCACAGCAUUAAAAUCAUGGAAGUUUGGAGUAAAAAGGAAUCCUGUCCAACUGCCUCUGUUUACAGAUAAAGAAAUUGAGGCAGCUCGUAUCCAUCGUUUCAAACCUUGACCAAAUGCCCUCUCCUCUGGGGAACUUUUCUUCACUUCCCCCAGGCUGCUAUCUGCUCUGGCUCCCACAGCUAACUACCAGCACUCACCCCCUCACAUCCAAUUUAUCUGCUUGUGCAUCUGUUUCCUCCACUUACUCUGUAAAACUACCGAAGACUAGGGCCAACAGCUCUGUACCCUAAAAUUCUAGCCCAAAGAAUGUUCUCAAAGAAAGAUUGUUGGAUGAGCUUAGGGUGAGAAUCUGAAUCAAUGUGCACUCCAAAUACAUUCUUUCUCCACACCUAUGUUGAAAUGGUAGUAGCAAAAUUCAACAGAAAUUCUAGACGUACAAUUCGUCCUAAGCACUAAAA